GACGAACGCUGGCGGCGUGCUUAACACAUGCAAGUCGAACGGAAAGGCCCUGCGUUUGUGGGGUGCUCGAGUGGCGAACGGGUGAGUAACACGUGAGUAACCUGCCCUUGACUUUGGGAUAACUUCAGGAAACUGGGGCUAAUACCGGAUAGGAGAUCCUGCUGCAUGGGGGGGGUUGGAAAGUUUCGGCGGUUGUGGAUGGACUCGCGGCUUAUCAGCUUGUUGGGGGGGUAGGGGCUUACCAAGGCUUUGACGGGUAGCCGGCCUGAGAGGGUGACCGGCCACAUUGCGCCUGAGGUACGGCCCAGACUGCAACGGGACGCAGUAGUCGGGAAUAUUGCACAAUGGGCCGAAGCCUGAUGCAGCAACGCCGCGUGCGGGAUGACGGCCUUCGGGUUGUAAACCGCUUUCGCCUGUGACGAAGCGUGAGUGACGGUAAUGGGUAAAGAAGCACCGGCUAACUACGUG
RNAcentral lists this ribosomal RNA (468 nucleotides) under uncultured bacterium. RNAcentral's name for it is "partial 16S ribosomal RNA". It matches the Rfam family "Bacterial small subunit ribosomal RNA", at positions 28 to 507 of the family's 1533-position model. The record is from RNAcentral.